CCACUGGAACGGUGGCUAAUACCGGAUGUGCCGGAAGGUGAAAGGCUUGCUGCCUGAAGAUGAGCUCGCGUCCGAUUAGCUAGUAGGUGGGGUAAGAGCCUACCUAGGCGACGAUCGGUAGCUGGUCUGAGAGGAUGACCAGCCACACUGGGACUGAGACACGGCCCAGACUCCUACGGGAGGCAGCAGUGGGGAAUUUUCCGCAAUGGGCGAAAGCCUGACGGAGCAAUACCGCGUGAGGGAGGAAGGCUCUUGGGUUGUAAACCUCUUUUCUCAGGGAAGAACACAAUGACGGUACCUGAGGAAUCAGCAUCGGCUAACUCCGUGCCAGCAGCCGCGGUAAUACGGAGGAUGCAAGCGUUAUCCGGAAUGAUUGGGCGUAAAGCGUCCGCAGGUGGCUGUGUAAGUCUGCUGUCAAAGAGCAAAGCUCAACUUUGUAAAGGCAGUGGAAACUACACGGCUAGAGUGCGUUCGGGGCAGAGGGAAUUCCUGGUGUAGCGGUGAAAUGCGUAGAGAUCAGGAAGAACACCGGUGGCGAAGGCGCUCUGCUAGGCCGCAACUGACACUGAGGGACGAAAGCUAGGGGAGCGAAAGGGAUUAGAUACCCCUUGUAGUCACC
Molecule: ribosomal RNA, 619 nt
Filed under: Desmonostoc muscorum AUS-JR/MT/NT-113
Lineage: Bacteria; Bacillati; Cyanobacteriota; Cyanophyceae; Nostocales; Nostocaceae
Description: bacterial SSU rRNA
Rfam family: Bacterial small subunit ribosomal RNA
Source: RNAcentral